Molecule: long non-coding RNA, 3200 nt
Organism: Cavia porcellus (domestic guinea pig)
Lineage: Eukaryota; Metazoa; Chordata; Mammalia; Rodentia; Caviidae
Exons: 3
Source: RefSeq, a predicted model, not a curated record
GGCCCUGGAUUUGUGAGAGCUGAAGGCAGGACUGAGGUGCAGGCAGCGGGCCCUGGAGUCUGAGCUCUCCGUGGCUGGGCUCACUGCUGAGCCUUGGCGUCUGAUGUGACAGUGACAGGUCUUUGUCCCGCAGCCAGCGGUGCCUGCCGGUCACCACCACUCACAGCCCUGCGUGCAGCCCUGCACUGCGGCAGCCUGGGAGCCCCGGAGCUGUCGCCUCAGCAUUCCUGCAUGGCCUGCGUCUCACCCCACAGCCUCGAGCCCCCAACGCAGCAGGAGGAAACUCUCCUGGAAAAGCAUGACGUGCAGCUGACCAUCGCCCGAGUCAGCGGGGACCCCCACAGCAAAGGUUUCUGCUGUCUGUCCUAGGACUCACACUGAAGAGCCUUAAAGCGUCAUGUGAGGUGAUUGCUCACCACUGUAGGGGGACCCUGAGAAAGUAAGCAGGAAGGAAGGAAGGAAAGAAGGAAGGAAGGAAGAGGGAGAGAGAGAGGUAGACAAGAGGCCCAGAACCUUCCAUCCUGCUCCAGCUUCAUGAGGAGACUCUGUCGUCAGGUUGUACCUAACACCAAGCAGUAGGAGGUCACAGUGAAGUUGUUUGUGGCUUCAGGCUGAGGUGAUGGCUUUAACCCCAGGAGUAGCUGGAUAAUUCCCACAAAUUAUUGGUCACACUUCAAAAGGCAGCUCAGCUAAGGAAGAGAGCACAGGAGAGGCAGACUUCGGUGAGGUCAUAAAAACUUGCAAGUUAUGGAGGGAAGUCUCUUCUUCCAGCUUCCUCCCCAGACGGCCGAAUCACUGCACAAAGGCCUUGGCUUCUCUAGCAAAUCGGUGCCUCUGGACUCACUUCAUUUGGAGUCUGAAAGAUCAGCUGUCUACAUGCACAUGCCACGGUUUAUUGUGCCACAAAACAAGGACUAGAUAAUGACACAGACGAUGAAGCUAAGCCUGGAGAUGUCAAGCGCUGAGACAAAGAUUUAAUUCCAAACCGUGAGCUGCCUCUGUUGCUGUCUGCCUCCCUUCCAGAGCAGCCGGCCCCAUGGAAAGGUACACUAUUACAUCUCGAAAGCACACUAGAGAGCCUGAGCCCCCGGUCAAUGUUAGUGACAGAUCAGGACCCUCAGCUGUCGGGCGGCACUGUGCUGGGUUUCCUGCACGCACUGUGGUGGUUUAAAAACAGGUCUACAAGUUCUUUGCUUCUGCUCCUGUCCAGUCUCCCCUUGAGUGUGAGCUCUUGGGUGACUCACUUGCAAUGACUAGAAUGGCUCAGAAGUGAGUGUGCACAGAGCAGCUGUGUUCGGGGACUUUUUAAACUCUAUUGUGUUAUGCAGGACACUGUGAGCUCCUGCACGACAGUGACCAUACGGUGUUUCAUUCCCAGGACCUUGCACACCUGCUGGCAUAGAAUAACUGCUCAAUAUUUUUAGUAAUAAAAUAAGCAAAUACAUUUCUUUCAUAAGGGGACAAAUGAAAUCAUGUACAAGGCUAUUGCAUGUCUUUAUGAUAUUUACAGCUUUAGAUACAUAGAGUGACACAGAAAUGUGGUCAAAUACUCGUAAGUGAAAUAAAUCAAACUUGCAUGUGUAAAUAUUCUAUUGUCUCCCUAGUGUGAGAAAUUGAAAGAAAUAAUAUAUGUGUUAUAAUAGUUAAAAUAUGUUGGAACUUAGGACCCUGGAAAACCAAGCAAGCAGCUCACCUCCCUGGUAAGCGGUGACGGUGUAGCAGACUACAGCCUUUCCAGGGGGAGAACCACCAGUGUCUCCUGAGAACCGCGCCAUGUUGGAACUUAGGACGCUGGGAAACCAAGCAACCAGCCUGCCUCCCUGCUAAGCAACAGUAAACCUAUUGGUUCACGGCCUAGAGUCAAACAUCCCACUUACCCUUCCCUCCUUCCCUGUCCCCCCACUGGUUAGCAAAUGGGAACCAGAAAUCUGAACAUCUUUUGGGAGGUUGACCAUAGCAAAUAAGGGGGAUUUCCUUCUACUAUCUCUUUGAAGGCAAAUUUUUUUAUAACUGUUUUGCUUUAUUCUGAUUAAUGGUACUGCUCUAUUCAAUAUUCUGUAUUGAUAAAUUCUAUAAUGUUCUGUAUUUCAUUUUAUUUUGAUAUACAUGAUUGAAAGAACAACUAUUGUAAAGAUAAUGAAAUAUACUGUGAUACCUAUUACUAUUAUCCCAGUAACCUGCUGUGAAGUUCUGUACCAAUUUCACUGUACGAUCUUAGUUGGCUUUAUUCUGUCUUGUUAUGUUGUAUUUUACUACUUUCAAAAUUUUAAAAAAUGAAAAAAAAUAGUUAAAAUAGGUACACUACUAAUUACUCUUAGUUCAUUGAAAAGAAAGGUUUGUGCUAAUAUUGUUUGGACAAUGAAGUGCAGAUGUCUUAUACUCUGAGUAACUGAUUUAAAGAUAACAAUUUCAGUGUAUUAACCAUCAUUACCCUCUAAUUAUCAUGUUUUGAAAUUUUGUUAUCUUUUUGUCUUUAAAGUAAAAAAAGAAAUGUGGUCCUGCUUAGGUUUCAGCAGGAGAAAUCCCUAACAACUUGCUGCCAUCUAAGCUUGAAGCUGGGAGUUUGUACAGCAGGCCGCUCACUGUAAAUCCUGUAGUAUUUCCACCUCUGCUAGUUUGUUUCUGGUUUCUGUGACAAAAUAGCUGAGGCUGGGUCCUUUAAAAAGAGCAGAGCCCGAUUCUGCUCACAGAUUCAGAGGCUGACAGUCUGAGAUCAGGCAGCCCCAUCUGUUCACACUCUGGUGUGCGCCUCUGGGCUACAUCACAACGUGGCAGGGCCACACAGAGAAGGGAGAUUGCACCGUGAGGCCGGAAGCCGGGGAGUAGGAGGAGACCAUUCUUGCUCUUUUCACAACAACUUGUUCCCACUCAGGGAGCCCAGAGUUCACCUCCCAGGGCAGCGCCCCAGGGACGGAGCCAUCUUCUUCCACUAGGCCAUCCUAACAACACCAUGCUGGGGACCACACUCCCAGGCCCUGAACCCUUGGGGGACAAAUGCACCCAAGCCAUGGCACUGCUUAAAUGUCAGAACAUUCCAGAUGUUCCUUUAAGUCAAAAUUCUAAUCUUUUCACAAGAAUCAUAAGCUUGUUAGACUUCACAAGAAUUAUAAACACAUACUUAAAAAUCAUUUUCCUGUGAAAGACUUUUCAAAUGUUUGAAUAAAUGAUGAAGCAUUUAAUAAAUGCUAUUUUCUAUGAAA